GAUGAAGAACGUAGCGAAAUGCGAUAAGUAAUGUGAAUUGCAGAAUUCAGUGAAUCAUCGAAUCUUUGAACGCACAUUGCGCCCCCUGGUAUUCCGGGGGGCAUGCCUGUCCGAGCGUCAUUACAACCCUCAAGCUCAGCUUGGUGUUGGGCCCCGCCGCCCCGGCGGGCCCUAAAGUCAGUGGCGGUGCCGUCCGGCUCCGAGCGUAGUAGUUCUUCUCGCUCUGGAGGUCCGGUCGUGUGCUCGCCAGCAACCCCCAAUUUUUUUCAGGUUGACCUCGGAUCAGGUAGGGAUACCCGCUGAACUUAAGCAUAUCAAUAAGCGGAGGA
RNAcentral lists this unclassified non-coding RNA (329 nucleotides) under soil metagenome. Its description in RNAcentral is "partial contains 5.8S ribosomal RNA, internal transcribed spacer 2, and large subunit ribosomal RNA". The stretch from base 1 to 120 matches the Rfam family "5.8S ribosomal RNA", at positions 35 to 154 of the family's 154-position model. The record is from RNAcentral.